Molecule: transfer RNA, 80 nt
Organism: Ectocarpus siliculosus
Lineage: Eukaryota; Phaeophyceae; Ectocarpales; Ectocarpaceae
Rfam family: tRNA
About the family: Transfer RNA (tRNA) molecules are approximately 80 nucleotides in length. Their secondary structure includes four short double-helical elements and three loops (D, anti-codon, and T loops).
Source: Rfam
GACCGAAUGGCCGAGUGGUCUAAGGCGCUAGGUUUAGGCCCUAGUUCGAAAGAGCGUGGGUUCAAAUCCCACUUCGGUCA